This 392-nucleotide ribosomal RNA is filed under the name uncultured bacterium. RNAcentral's name for it is "partial 16S ribosomal RNA". It matches the Rfam family "Bacterial small subunit ribosomal RNA", at positions 523 to 918 of the family's 1533-position model. The record is from RNAcentral.
AUACGGAGGAUCCGAGCGUUAUCCGGAUUUAUUGGGUUUAUAGGGUGCGCAGGCGGCCAUUUAAGUCAGCGGUUAAAUCGUGGGGCUCAACCCCAUUCUGCCGUUGAUACUGGGUGGCUUGAUUGCGGUCGAGGUUGGCGGAAUUCGUUGUGUAGCGGUGAAAUGCAUAGAUAUGACGAAGAACACCGAUUGCGUAGGCAGCUGACCAGACCGCAAAUGACGCUCAUGCACGAAAGUGCGGGGAUCGAACAGGAUUAGAUACCCUGGUAGUCCGCACAGUAAACGAUGAAUACUAGUUUUCGGCGAUAUAAUGUCGGAGGCAAAGCGAAAGCGAUAAGUAUUCCACCUGGGGAGUACGCCGGCAACGGUGAAACUCAAAUGAAUUGACGGGG